UACGGAGGGGGCUAGCGUUAUUCGGAAUCACUGGGCGUAAAGCGCGUGUAGGCGGUCUGUAAAGUCAGAGGUGAAAUCCCGGAGCUUAACUUCGGAAUUGCCUUUGAAACUCAUAGACUAGAAUCCGAUAGAGGACAGUGGAAUUCCUAGUGUAGAGGUGAAAUUCGUAGAUAUUAGGAGGAACACCAGUGGCGAAGGCGACUGUCUGGAUCGGUAUUGACGCUAAGACGCGAAAGCGUGGGGAGCAAAC
Molecule: ribosomal RNA, 250 nt
Filed under: uncultured bacterium
Lineage: Bacteria
Description: partial 16S ribosomal RNA
Rfam family: Bacterial small subunit ribosomal RNA
Source: RNAcentral